Molecule: unclassified non-coding RNA, 210 nt
Filed under: uncultured Sebacinales
Lineage: Eukaryota; Fungi; Basidiomycota; Agaricomycetes; Sebacinales
Description: sequence contains ITS2
Source: RNAcentral
UAAUCUCACCUCUUCAACUUUAAUGUUGAUGAGUGUGGAGUUGGAUGCUGCCGUUACAUGGACGGCUCGUCUGAAAUGCCUGAGUGUGCCCAGUUCCUGUGGUGUAUUUGGUGUAAUAAGUCUUCACCAGAGAUUGGUCCCCUUGGGAUCACAUCACAUUUGCUUAAGUGCAUGCUUCCAAUCGUCUCUUCAAGAGACAGCUCUUUGACA